GAACUGCAAAAUUUAACAUUACACUAUUAAUUGUUAUUUUAUAAAAAUGUGUGUUUAAACUCUUUGAUAAUGUCCGGUAAAAAUGCACAUCAUUCCCCAAUUCACGGUCCUUUAUAACUCUACAGUUAAACCGUUAGAUUUAAUAAUACAAUAUAUUACAAUAUCAUUGAUAUAAUACUAUUAUUCGAAAUGUAAUUCUUAUUACAAUAAUAGGCGCAUUAUAGCAAUGCAACUUUCAAUAAACAGUUUGCUGCGUUGUUUGCUACUUGGUGGGUUACUUGACAAAACGUUUUGUUUACCGUAUAGUAUUUUUUAGUACAGAAAAUUGAUGGAUUAUUGAAUUAUAAUCCUUAUCAGUAGAUGUUUAGUGACUGAAAACAGUAAACGUAGUUU
Cinara cedri is the source of this 393-nucleotide non-coding RNA. The record is from the annotation of a GenBank genome assembly. Lineage: Eukaryota; Metazoa; Arthropoda; Insecta; Hemiptera; Aphididae.